GACGGAGGGGGCGAGCGUUGUUCGGAAUUAUUGGGCGUAAAGGGCGCGUAGGCGGAUCGGCGUGUCUGGCGUGAAAUCUCCACUACUCAACAGGGAGAGGUCGCUGGAAACUACCGAUCUGGAGUUCGGCAGAGGGCCAUGGAAUUCCGGGUGUAGCGGUGGAAUGCGUAGAUAUCCGGAAGAACACCGGUGGCGAAGGCGGUGGCCUGGGCCGAAACUGACGCUGAGGCGCGAAAGCCAGGGGAGCAAACGGG
Molecule: ribosomal RNA, 254 nt
Filed under: uncultured bacterium
Lineage: Bacteria
Description: partial 16S ribosomal RNA
Rfam family: Bacterial small subunit ribosomal RNA
Source: RNAcentral